GCCUGGUUGGUCUAGUGGAAAAGACGCUGCGGCGGCGGUUCUAAGCCAUCCCGGUUCUGAACCGUGUGGUGGCCUGCCUGUCGAGAGAACCCUGGUUCGAACCCAGGACCGGGCA
Molecule: transfer RNA, 115 nt
Filed under: Penicillium salamii
Lineage: Eukaryota; Fungi; Ascomycota; Eurotiomycetes; Eurotiales; Aspergillaceae
Description: tRNA-Sup
Source: RNAcentral